AGGGAAUCUUCCGCAAUGGACGAAAGUCUGACGGAGCAACGCCGCGUGAGCGAUGAAGGCCUUCGGGUCGUAAAGCUCUGUUGUUAGGGAAGAACAAGUAUCGGAGUAACUGCCGGUACCUUGACGGUACCUAACCAGAAAGCCACGGCUAACUACGUGCCAGCAGCCGCGGUAAUACGUAGGUGGCAAGCGUUGUCCGGAAUUAUUGGGCGUAAAGCGCGCGCAGGCGGUCCUUUAAGUCUGAUGUGAAAGCCCACGGCUCAACCGUGGAGGGUCAUUGGAAACUGGGGGACUUGAGUGCAGAAGAGGAAAGCGGAAUUCCACGUGUAGCGGUGAAAUGCGUAGAGAUGUGGAGGAACACCAGUGGCGAAGGCGGCUUUCUGGUCUGUAACUGACGCUGAGGCGCGAAAGCGUGGGGAGCAAAC
RNAcentral lists this ribosomal RNA (425 nucleotides) under uncultured bacterium. RNAcentral describes it as "bacterial SSU rRNA". It matches the Rfam family "Bacterial small subunit ribosomal RNA", at positions 356 to 773 of the family's 1533-position model. The record is from RNAcentral.